AGGCUUCUCCUUCCUUUGGACUGCACAGCACUCCUUCUUUCUCCUCCUUUAGUGGCUGCACAAGGUGGAUGAAUGGUUAUGGAAGGAUGUAGGAAUGGUUUGGGGAAGAGGAUGGUGCGGCAAGGUUGAAUUUGGGCAGAAAGUUGGGAGUUUGGGGUUGGAAGGCUGCGGCAAGGUGGGAAAUAGGGUUUUGGACGAAUUUCUGAAUAUGGAGAGGGUCGUCUCCGGCCAAGGGAGGUAAAACACAUAUAUAUAGGCAGCCAAACCCUAAAGAAAUCAAGUUAGACAAAUGGGCUAGGGUUUAGGUGCGGCUAGGGUUAAGAAAUCCACCCAAAACUAGGGUUUCUAGAACAUUAGGUGCGGCAUGGGCUUAGGGUAAGUAAUCAGAUUUUUUUCAUGUGAACAAGGCCUAGGUGCGGCUGAUUAAGUGGGCUAGGGUUAGGGUUAGGUGCGGCAUAGGUCCAAGAGGCAAAGAUGGGUCAUCCAAAAGCCCAAAGCCAAGAAUAGAAACUCUCGAAAAUGGAAACCUCCAAGAAUAGAAACUUCCAACUUUAGAAACUUUAGUUGCCAAUUCCGACUUCUUUGUUCUUUACUUUCAUUUCUUCAUUUCUUAAGCUCCCUCGACCUUCAAACUCGUCCAUUCCUUGUUCCAAGCAUGUACUUUUC
This 666-nucleotide long non-coding RNA is filed under the name Malus domestica (apple). RNAcentral's name for it is "long non-coding RNA (MDOM_LNC020864)". Lineage: Eukaryota; Viridiplantae; Streptophyta; Magnoliopsida; Rosales; Rosaceae. The record is from RNAcentral.